This 750-nucleotide ribosomal RNA is filed under the name Triticum aestivum (bread wheat). RNAcentral describes it as "partial small subunit ribosomal RNA". Lineage: Eukaryota; Viridiplantae; Streptophyta; Magnoliopsida; Poales; Poaceae. The record is from RNAcentral.
AUGGGGGCGACCAUUGAUCGUUCGUUAGAGGGUACGCGGGAUCCUAACCUUUACAAGAUUUGUGGUCAGGUCCAUCACCAUAUUGGUUCUCUUUUUCCAUCGAAAGAUGAGACGCCUAAAUUCACUGAGAUGUAUAUUUAUGACACUGCUAAUGAAGUGGACCAUAGGAUGAAUGCGGUCAAUGUAGAUGGUACUUCCUCAGGACAGUUAGAUCAUUCUAUUGUGGAGGGUUUAAAGGAUAUGCUUGACCAGAACAAUUCUUUGGAGAAGUUUAGGAUGGCUAAAGAGAGGUUAGAGGAGCAUCCAGCUGAGCGUAUAGCUAUUAGGAUCAUAGCGCGUGGUGAAGGUGAUGGUCCACAGUAUAACCUGCCAAUGGCUAAUGAGCUGGCAGCCCUGGUUGUUGGUGAUUUUACUUCAAAUGCGGCUUCUCGAGAUAUCAUGAUACAUGAUAGGGUUGAAGGGGUAUAGCAAAUUAAUUAUUUCCAUCCAGCCUACAUGCCAUUGCAGUAUCCACUGUUGUUCCCAUAUGGUGAGAGAGGUUUUCAAAUUGAUGUUCCAUAUAAAGGGUUGCUGGCCGGGGAAAAGACCAGGGGUAAAGUUACUAUGUAGGACUAUUACUAUUAUGCGUGUCAUUAUCGGCCGGAACAGCCAAAUCCUUACUUCUGUUAUGGGUAUUUGUCUUCACAAGUUGUUGUUGAUUGUCGCGCUUGCAUUGAUGAGCAGAGACUUUGGUACAUACUUAGGCACUAG